RNAcentral lists this ribosomal RNA (3187 nucleotides) under Triticum aestivum (bread wheat). RNAcentral describes it as "partial small subunit ribosomal RNA". The record is from RNAcentral. Lineage: Eukaryota; Viridiplantae; Streptophyta; Magnoliopsida; Poales; Poaceae.
CACUUGUAGUCUGGGCCCAAUCCCCAUUUGUUCAAUUUAUUGCUUCUUUCAGUAGGUUAUGUUUCCAUUUUUCGUGAUAUAAUAUCAGUUUAAAGGACUGUUUAGUUCGCGACUGUGGAUACAGGUUUAUGGUACCUGUUAACAUACGAACAUAAAGGUUUUUUUACCCAGCCCGCCGAUUUUAGACUGGGCCAAGAUUGAUUAUUGGUUUUGUUUUGUUCCGUUGAUAGUGCUUUGGGUGGACCUGGCAACGGGUACGAGAAAAAAGGAAAGGACCUGUUGUUUAGUGGACUGCUUCUUUUCCUUGUUUUUAGUCGUCUUAUGACCGCAGAGGGUCCUGGGAGGAAAUUGAACGUAGUGUGUUCAGUAGACCCUCCGCGGUACCCUAUCCCCUUUACUCCUCUUCUUUCUCAUCUUUUUGUAGUCUCUCUGCAGUACCCUCUCUCCCUCACUCUUCUUCCUUCUUGUUGUUGUUCAGUCUCUCCGUGUAGUCUCCCCGUUCAUGGACCUCUCUUCGUUCCCCCUUCUUGUCUAGGCUUAUUAACCACCUCCCGUCUCCUUCUAGUUGGUUCUCUGCCAGGUGUCGAGUGCAUUACAGGAUGAGGAAAACUAGUGUGAAGAUAACUUGAGAAGGCACAAAAAGGAGUGGGGCGACGAGAUCUAUGUGUAGGAUGUACUUGAUCGGACAUCUUUUUUUUUGUAGUAUGUUAGAUCACUUUUACACCCUUAGUAGUCCCCCCUUUAAGAUUGACAGUCUUCCAUUUUGACAAUUAUAAAGUGACAGUUUUGUGAUGUGGUUGUGCUUAAGGUCACAUUCCAUGUGUACUUUUUUUGAAACGACGUCAUAUCCCGUUACAUCCAUCGUACUUGGUACCCCUUUAAUGUACUUUUUUUGAAACGACAUCAUGUGUACUUUUUUAGAAACGACGCUAUGUCCCGUUACAUUGAUUGUACUUGAGUCACCUAAUGUCUCUAUGUACGUUCAAGUCUGCUUCAGUACUUAUGUUUCUGUAUGGAUAGUCGUAUUUCUUGUGUUCAGGAUAGUCUACUUCCGUAAUUAUAACUGUUACUUUUCGUCUCGAACAAUGUCACGAGCAUGUGUACCUGUCACUUCCUUUACUUAUUAGUGUGAUCACCUAAUGUUACUAUUAUUGGUUCCUUGAUGUGUCCUAUUAGCGGGAUUUGUCUCAAUUUUAGGUGACAUUAAGUUCGUUUCGACUUGUUCUUACUUCGAGUUUAUAGUUCAUUAUCUCCAAGUCGUCCUUUUAAUGUGAUGAAACAAAUCUUUUUUUUACUUUAAAUGUGACUUCAAGAUCCUUUUUAAUGUGACGUUAAGCCCCUUAUUAAUGUGAUAUUAAUGUAUUUAUUUCGUACUUCAAAUUUGACAUUAAUACCCCUUUUAAUGUGACAUUAAUGUAUUUACUUCGUACCUCAAAUGUGACGUUAAGAUCCUUUUAAUGUGACAUUAAUUUUUUUACUUCGUAACCCUAAUGUGAUUUUAGACCCGAUUUAAUGUGACGUUAAGAUCCCAUAUAAUGUGACGUUAAUGUUUUUCCUUCGUACCCCUAACGUUACUUUAAGAACUUUUUAUCGAAAUAGUUUGGGAGAUAGUAGUGAUCUUUCUAGGACUUUUUGUUAAGUCAGUUGUUUGUUUUUUUUAAUUAUUUGACUUUCUUUCUUAUUUUUGCUUUUACUUUCAUCUCUUGUUCUGUCUUUAUUGAUGGUUUCUGUAUCGUAAUCUUGGUAGAAGGCGUUUCAGUAAUCCGUGUUUUACUAGUAAGGUUCUUAGUCGUGAGUGCUAUCUUCUUUGAUGGCUUUGUAGGAACACUCUCUGAAAGGCAUCAGAGGGGUAACUGGAUUUGGAUUGUUUUGUCUUAUGUACUGUGUGCUUUUUUUUUCUUUAAUUUCUUUCAACUUUUAAUAUCUCAUUACCCCGAGUUAAUGUUCCCUUUAGAGUGUUGUUUAUGUGACUUUCCGUCGUUAGUCCCCUUAAUAUCUUAUUACCCCGUAUAAUUAUGUCACGUUCUUAGUGAAUUUUAUGUCACAUUUUUGGUUGGAUUUAUGUCACUUUGAGACUCAGUUUUAUGUGUUAUUAAUCCCGUUGAAUGUUACUUUUCCAUCUCCUUCAUGUGACGGUUUUUGACUUCUAUUUAAUAUAUCAUUCUUACCCCCUAUAAUGUCACGUUUUGAUGUACUUACGUACGUUUUGUAGACUCUUUUUAAUGUUACAUUUAUUGUUUCUUUGACCGCGUCAUAAUGUGACUUUUUAUAUGUGACGUUAAAUGUGACUUUCUUCGUACUCUUAAUGUGCCAUUGCCCCCUUUUAUAAUGUGUCAUUGAGAUCCCUUUUAAUGUGUCAUUAAUGUUUAUUUCUUCGUGUUUUUUGUGUGCCAUUAGUGCCAUAUAACGUGACAUUAACGUCCCAUUGGAUGUCACAUUAAGAUGCUGUACAAUGUGUCAUUAAUAUCGUUUUAAAUGUGACUUCUUUCUUCGUAGUCCUAAUGUGACAUUAAUCCCCCCUUUAUGUGUCAUGAUGAUCCUGUUUAAUGUCUCAUUGUUGUUUAUUUCUUCGUAGUCCGAUGUGACAUUUACGUGACGUUAAUACCCCGUUCAAUGUGACAUUAAUACUCAAUUUAAUGUGUCAUUAAGACCUACCCCUAUGUGACAUUAAGAUCCCCAUUCAAUGUGAAGUUCAGACCUCAUUUUUAUGUGGCAUUUCUUCGUACUUUAAGUCUCUCUAAGGACCUGAUUGUGAUGUUGUUGUGACGUCGGAUCAUGUGUGUUUAAGUCUCUCUAAGUCCAUGGCCCACUUUACUUGUGGAUGUAGAUUGUUUUUUUUAGUAUAACUUAAGGUCCCUAAUGUUGUCGUUUGUAGUCGUCGAUUGUCGUUGAUGUUCAUUUGACGUCUUCGUCCGUCUUUGGGUACGAUCUGGUAGACGUUGAUGUAGAUUGCUGUUUCCUUGUCUGUGGGUCCGGUCGUCUUUAUUUUAACUAUCCCGCUUAGGUGGCGACGUUGAUAUUGAAGCGGAUGGAGAUGUAGAUGUAGUCUUAUUUGUUGGAUGCGGAUGGAGAUGUAGAUGUUCGUCCCCUCUUUUCCUGGUGUUGUUCCUCUACCUAAUCUUGAGGGGUGUAUGUUGUUCGAGGAUGUGUUGAGUCCGCCCGUCUUCCUACCCUUUACCUCGCGAUC